Molecule: ribosomal RNA, 484 nt
Filed under: uncultured bacterium
Lineage: Bacteria
Description: partial 16S ribosomal RNA
Rfam family: Bacterial small subunit ribosomal RNA
Source: RNAcentral
AUUGAACGCUGGCGGCAGGCCUAACACAUGCAAGUCGAGCGGAUGAAGGGAGCUUGCUCCUGGAUUCAGCGGCGGACGGGUGAGUAAUGCCUAGGAAUCUGCCUGGUAGUGGGGGAUAACGUCCGGAAACGGGCGCUAAUACCGCAUACGUCCUGAGGGAGAAAGUGGGGGAUCUUCGGACCUCACGCUAUCAGAUGAGCCUAGGUCGGAUCAGCUAGUUGGUGGGGUAAAGGCCUACCAAGGCGACGAUCCGUAACUGGUCUGAGAGGAUGAUCAGUCACACUGGAACUGGGACACGGUCAAGACUCCUACGGGAGGCAGCAGUGGGGAAUAUUGGGCAGUGGGCGAAAGCCUGAUCCAGUCAUGCCGCGUGUGAGAAGAAGGUCUUCGGAUUGUAAAGCACGUUAAGUUGGGAGGAAGGGCAGUAAGUUAAUACCUUGCUGUUUUGACGUUACCAGCAGAAUAAGCACCGGCUAACUUCGUG